UACGUAGGGUGCAAGCGUUGUCCGGAAUUAUUGGGCGUAAAGAGCUCGUAGGCGGUCUGUCGCGUCGGCUGUGAAAUCCCGAGGCUCAACCUCGGGUCUGCAGUGGGUACGGGCAGACUAGAGUGUGGUAGGGGAGACUGGAAUUCUUGGUGUAGCAGUGAAAUGCGUAGAUAUCAAGAGGAACACCAGUGGCGAAGGCGAGUCCCUGGACAACACCAUGGACACUGGAGGCAACGAAAGCUAGGGGAGCAAACAGG
Molecule: ribosomal RNA, 257 nt
Filed under: uncultured bacterium
Lineage: Bacteria
Description: partial 16S ribosomal RNA
Rfam family: Bacterial small subunit ribosomal RNA
Source: RNAcentral